This is a non-coding RNA of Oryctolagus cuniculus (rabbit), 7949 nucleotides long. NCBI's taxonomy places the organism in Eukaryota, Metazoa, Chordata, Mammalia, Lagomorpha, Leporidae. The record is from RefSeq and is a predicted model, not a curated record.
UCUAAGAGCUUCUUUGUGGUGGAAUGAGAAGGCCAUGGCCAAGGUAGCCACUGGCAAGCAAGUGUCAGUUACUCAGGAAUGGCUUUGAAACCCACCUGGCAAUGGAGUCUGCCUGGCAACAGGCUGUGAUUGGUUGGGGCAUAGACCGCCCCUUGACUAGAUUGGCUGGUCUUGGCUAGAUAAGAUGUUGUUCCAACUGUAAUAAAUGAGUCUGCGGGCUGCUCGCCUCAAGCCUGCUUUCACCCAACUCCCAGGGUCUGUGUGGUGACUCCGCACCUCUUGCCCCCACCACGCUGCUCCUCUCAGAAAUUAAUCCACUGCAACAUUGUUGAGAAAUCAACAGCAACAUUUCUUCUAGGUCUCCCAUGGGGGUGCAGGGUCCCAAGGACUUCUACUGCUUCCCCAGGCCACAGCAGAGAGCUGGAUCAGAAGUGGAACAGCUGGGUCUUGAACAGGUACCCAUAUGGAAUGCCAGCGCUUCAGGCCAGGGCCUUAACCUGCUGCGCCACAGUGCAGGCCCCAAGUGUUUUCAUCUCAGUUUAGAGGGGUGCAGAGUGAAGGCUGUGGAGCAAGCUUGGUUGAACUGCCCAGAAUCACACAGUUGAUCCCUGAUUUGGUCAAAUACUCACAUUUCCUCAACACAGAUCAAAUGCUACCAUAUGGGGAAACUGCGGCCAUCUUCAGCUCUAGAGAAGUCUCAGGGGGAAGAAAAUAUGAAAAUAAUAAGAAAGAAAUUAAUACAAUGGAAAUAUUAUAUCUCAUUUUUAUCAAUCUUCUGAGAACUCACUGUGGUUAAUGUUUUCCCUCUGCCAUGCCUCCUAACUCUACCUCCAAAAGGUUCCUGCUAAUGAACACAUUGGGAGGAACAGGUGAUGACUCAAGUUUGUAUGGAGCAUCAUCUAUGCUUCCUGGACCACGGGGCGCCCUCUGUUGGAAUAGAUUCUCCUUUCCAAUUGGGUUUGAGAGCUGCAAGAAUCAGGCAGUGAAUGUGGAGCCUGGACCUAGGAAUAAUAUCCAGACCAUUUUGUUGGCUUUGAAACACAAAGAAGCUGGCAGUGGGCUGUUUGAAUGGAGAUUAUCUGUGUGACUGGCUGUGCCUUAAAUCAGUACACCUGUUUUACUGAGUAAGUACAAGAUUUUUUGAAAACACAAUGAUAUGACUACAUAUUUUUAUUCAUGAGAGAAAACACUUAAAAUUCUAACAAGUUUAAAUAAUGCCUGAGUUUCUGAUACAGAUAAAAUAACAUGCUUAUAAAGUAGCAUACAAACACACUUAAAAGAAAUCUAUAAUUAGUUGUUUCUUCUUGUGAAUUUCAGGAUAAAUUAGAUGAAAUAUAUGAAGGUGACAAGAGAUCAUUGCCAACAUUUCUCUCCAAAGCACCUAUAUUUGUUCAUGUUUUAGAUAAUUUAAACAUUUCACAUUAUUUAGAUGAUUGUAAUAAAUGAAGGUCUCCAAAUUUUGAAUUAUUUAAAAUAAAAAUCUUAUAACUUUGCCACUUGUUUUUUCCUACAGUGUUGAAUAUAAGAAACUAAAGGAUAUAAUGAUCAUUUUAAAAACUCUGGACCAAAAUAAGACCUAUGUAGAGAAAAAUGCACAUAUAAUGUGUCCAACUCAAUAUACUCUCAUAAAUUCAACCCUUACAUCAUGAAAUAGAAAAUCAUAAACAAUUAUGGAAGACUCUCUGUUCUAUUUUUAGGUUAAAAAUCACUCACAAAGUCAACCCUACCCUCACUUCUGACAUUAUACACUUUUUGUAUGAUUUUAUUUAUUCUUUUGUGCCUUUUGACCAACCUGAAGCUUGAUUUAUAGAGAGGUAAUUUAUUCUUUCUUGUGGUUGUGAAGUUUUUCAUUAGUAAACAUAUACUUACUUUUAUUCUACUUUGAAAACAUUCUGGGAUAAUUUCCAGAUUAGGGAAAUUAUAUCAUUCAAUGAAUAUUCUAAUGUAGUUUUGUUGCUGAAUAUACACACACACAAAUGCACAUAUAUAUUUCUAAUUCUUUUUGAAUAUGGAAAAUAUAAUAUACGCAUAUAUGUAUAAUAGAGAGUCUCUGUACAAUGAAUUAUCUUCACUUAAUAUAUUAUAUCUUACCAAUUAUAAAAGAGGGUCAUUCAUUCUGAAUAAUGAAUUUAUAAUGUCUAUGGUUACAGAAUUAUUAAACUUUGUAUUUGGGAGAAGCUGAGAGGUCAUCUCCAGGAUUAAUUUGAUAGAUGAAUCACUUCACUAACAUUGUCAACAAAUAGACAGCUAGCUUCAGUUGAAUUACCUCUAGGUAAAAGACAUACACUUCCUGAAGAGGAAGCUACUUGGAUUUUUACAAAUCCCUGGCUGUAAAAUUGUAUUUCUUAUAUUAGGCAGAACUACAGCAACCACUUUUACUCUUUGCUACUAGUUCUAUCCAUAAAAGACAUGUAGACUUGAACUUAAUUUAUCUUCAGAAUGGUGAGCUCCAAAUAGAGACAGUCAUUGUGCUUCUUCAGCAUUAGCCAUCUUUCUCUCUUUUAUAUUGGUAAUUGUUUCUUGAGUCUUUACAACAACACUGAGCAAACACAGUGUAGUGCAAACACUACACUGAUACAGUCUAAUUUGUCACCAUCUCCUUUGGAUGCUGAUUUUCUUUAAAAUUUUUAAAGAUUAGAAAACUGACACAAAGAAUCAACAAAUGUUAUUUGUUGAUACAAGGGAAUUAGGUAUUUCAAAUAAUGAUUUGAUUAGAUUUUCCCAGAAUUUCUUAAAUGACCUUAUCACUUUUUGGAAACAUUAAAGUCUUUAAACAAUACCGUGUCAAAAAUCAAAAUCAAAUCUCCUAGAAAAAUCACUGAUCCAAUGAGAAUAGAACACAUACUGAAUAGAAUCAUAUUUAACAUGGUUUUUUAUGGAUGGUUUAAUUAUUUUAGCAACCGUGUUAAAUUAUUACAUCAGUUGUGAGAUGAGGCCCACCAAUGUCUUACAAUAAUUUUCAUGCAUUCAUUCAAAAAUCAUUUGUUGAACAUGUAAUGACCAAAUAACAUACCGUUGUUUCAGUUCCUGCUGUCAAGGACAAUAGAAAUGGUAAAGAAGAUAUUUUUGGUGAACUUCAAGUAUAAGACAUAAAACAAUAGCCGCAAUAUGGAUGAACAGAGACUAGCACAUAAAAGGAGCACCUAACCCAUUGUGGCUUCUUAUUCCAUGAAAUAUCAAGCCUUGGAAUGAAAAUACAAAAGAAUUGUGUCAGGGGAAAAUGCUGUUAGAUGCAUGUUGAGGAAGUGGAGAUAAUUGGAGUUUUGAGAGGAGGAUGAUUAGUGGAUCCAAAGGACAGAUUCUGAAAGGCUCCCUGGAAUACACUGUGAAUUCAGUGGGACAUCAGUAAAAUGUUUAUGAGAGAAGUGACACGAUCAUGUUGGGUGUGCCCAAAGACCCAUUAUGCCAGCUUGUCACUCCACUGUACAUUCUAUUUCAUAGGGCAGUGUAUAUAUCCUUAACAACUUCAAUUUAAACAUCAUUUCAGCAAUUAAUAGAGAAGGAAAACAAAUGAAAAAGACUUUUUUUUUCUGAACCAGAUUUUGAAAUUUUUUUCUUCUUUCCUGGCUCUCUCAUAGAUAUUAAUUUCAGACUUCAGAUAUUUGUUUAAUCUUACUGGUGUUAGGAGAUUUACUAUCUUUGAAAACCAAGUGUGAUAUAACGUUAUUUCAUAUUAAUAAUGCUGUCUGAGCCUGGUUUCUGACUUUUGGAUACUCUUUGGAAUAUGUAGACAAUCUCUGGAAAUGGGACAAGACCUUCACAGCUGUGCUUGUGUUAAGUGGUUUCAGUCCAAAAAUAAUCAUAUUCUUGUGUUACCAUAGGGCAUUGGGCUUUCUUUUGUGUUCAACAUUGAUUUGGAUCUCUAAAACUUAGUGUGCCAAGUUUGUCAUCAAACUCCUGGAACUCAAGAGAGAGAAUGGAAUUUGAGGUUAUUUUUGCAGAAACAGAACUUUUUAUUAAUAUUGGAAAAUAGCCACGUUGAUUCAAGGUAGGGUGGGAAAGCAGCCCACGUCUCUUUCAGUUUUAAACAACAUGCAAUCUCUUGCUAAGUGCUUUACUUCAAAGAGAUGAAAAUGCAGUGUUGGAGUGUCUGAAAAUCAGAGCAAGAGAGAGGUAGAAUGAUGUCUUUCCUCCAAAAACUGUCAGGCCAAUAUCCCAGCAGGCUCAUUUGCCAACUGCUCUUUGGCAUCCAUCAUAACCUGCUCUUUACAUCAGUCAAAUUAUCCAGGUGAUAAGCCCAGAACUUGAAUCUGUGCCUGCAUUUUCACAUUGGUUUGAUUGCCCUAAGUCUCCAUUACCAUUCAACAGGCUGCCACUGGUGUGAAAGGAAAGACUGAGCCAUCAAAAAAGUGGAUUAAAAACUACGUUCAGCUUUCCAGCCGGUUCAGCUUACCUGCACACUAUGCUGUCAGUGCCUGAAAUGAGAGCAUGUGCAAAAAUUGUGCCUUGUUGGUUGGCACCUUUCUUUUAUUUCUUCUCUUACUCUGUGUUACGGGUUGAAUUGCAUUCCUCCCUAAAAAUGUUGAAGUCCUAACCUCCACCACCUUGAUGUUAAAAUCCAGAGUUUGCUACUUCAUAAUGCCUCCUUAUUUGGUAAUAGUUUUGCUAUAGUUGUCCUUCAUAAAGACAAAUUUAUAAUAUAAGUGGAAAUUUGGACAUAAGAGCUCUAUGCAGAUUCUUCUGUAACAACUUCAGAGGGUACAAAGUCCUGCCAACUCCUUGACCUUGGACUUUUAGUAUCCAGAAUGUGAGUGAAUACAUUUCUGUCCUCUGAUCUAUUCAGCUUGUGAUGCUUUGUUAUAGCAUCUCCAAACUUUUAACACUGUUUUGCCAACUAUCUCUUUUCUUUUUUUAUAUUAAACUGCAUUUCAUUAGCAUUCCCAUUAAGGUGAAUGUAAAUUUUAUACCUUGGUAUCCUGGCCUGAAGAGCAGUGUGACUUUCCUCUCCAGCAUUAUUGCUCUGCCUGGAGCUGUCCUAUUAUAAAUGCUUUACUGAGUCAAAUCCAGUACUGGGUCCACGAAUCAGUAUCAGCUAGCUAAAUGGCACACACUUGGUAUUUAUGCCUGCUGUAGUGGUUCCAUUAACUCAAAAGUCCCAUAGAUCACAAUAGACCCUUCCCCAUAGCAGGCUAGAUGGACUAUUUUAGAGAGUUUUGGCAUAGCCCCUAAAUUACUUCCAACCAACAAACUAGUGUCAUAAUUCAUUUUUAGUACCCAAGUCUGGUAUAUUAUCCUUAACACUGGAAAUAAAGUUUACCAACUUGCAUGUAAGUGCCUUUAGAACUAUCAAGAUCAUCUGAGAUGAAGUUAAUCAUACCUCUAUUUGGAAGAAAUCAAAUUACUGGUUCACAACAUUCUAACAGUUGUUACGUAUUCUAUAGAGAUGUUUGAAUGUUAACUAUGUAUAGCACUCUGUGCGGAUGUUAAAAAAUAGAGUUUUUGAACAGUGAGGUCCUCUACAUAUUUAACUGAAUGAUGGAGAAAUAUUAACUCCUUCAAGAGUUGAUUAUUUGGAAUGCAUAAUAUACCUGGCCCUGUGCUAUGCAUGGUCAGUACAGUAGACUGCUCUUAGGAGCAUAACUUGUGGAAGAACAUAUUUUCAGUUCUUGAGAAACAUGUACUCUAGAAGAGGGAUGAGACAAAUGCAAAAAGUAAUUAUAUAGAAGUCAUUUGUGAAUAAAAACAUCCAAACUAGUGAAUUUCACAGGGUUCAUACAUAGGAACUGAGUGUGUGUGUGUGUGUGUGUGUGUGUGUGAGAGAGAGAGAGAGAGAGAGAGACUUUCUGUAAGGAGUUGACUCAUGUAAGUGUGAAGGCUGAAAAGUCCCCAGGAUCUGUGGUCCAAAGGCCCGAGGACCAGGGGAGCCAGUGUUGUGAGCUGCAAUCCAUGUUUGAAAGCAGGAGGAGACCAAUGUAUUGUCCCAAGACUGUUAUGCAGAGAGAAUGAAUUCUCCCUUACCCAGAUUUUUAUUUUAUUUAGGCUUUCAACAAAUUGGAUGAAGCCAACACACACAAAGGAUGGCUGGCUCUUCUCAAUUUGUUGAUUGAAAUACUAAUUUCUCCAGAAAUGCCCUCAUAGACACACCCAGAAUAAUGUUUAAAUACCUGGGCAUCCCAUGAUCCAGUGAAGGUGACAAAUAAAAUAAUCAUCACAAGUCUAUCCCUUGUCGACUUUGAACCCAUAUACAUCUCUUAUAAGACAAUUGUGGAGUCAUAAUUUCCCUAAACAUGACUCAACUGUCCUGUACACAGACAAAAAGCACCAGUCCCUUCCAGAAGAAGAAGUGAAAUCCCUGAGUGAUCUUUCUCUUUAGUAUUUUGUACUGAAAAAAUUGUGCUUUUUAAAGCACAAAAUUUAAAGCAAUUUAAUUUUGUGAUUAAAGUUAAUCACAGUUAAAUGGCUAUGGUGUAACAUGAAUACAUUCUAUGGCAUACACACACACACACAUACAUAUAUGAAUAUUCACAAUUAUAGUCUUUGUUUCUGUAACUGUUUAUUUGGGUCUAGCUGACAUUUAAAAUCAUAUUCUUCCUGUAGCAAUUUUGAAUUCAGUAAGCAUGCCAGCAGGUUGUGUUUCUUUACCUGGAAGGGAAUCAUUAGUAAAGUAAUUGAUCAUUGAUAGUGCUGUCUUAUAACUUCCCACUGACCUUGACCACAGAACAUGGAAAUAAGCUUCCUUGGGGCUGUCAUUUUUACACAGCCAGUUAAGCCACCACUUGUGAUCCAUAUUGGAGGGCUGGUUUGAGAACCUGCUACUUUGCUGCUAAUCCAGCUUCUUGCUAAUAUGCAUGCAAAAGCAGUAGCAGAUGUAGGAGAUGAGAAUGGAAUUUCUGGCUCCUAGCUUCUGCCUAGCCAGAUUUGGUGGUUGUGGACAUUUAGGAACUGAACCAGUGGAUAGAAGAUCCCUCUCUUUUUGUCUCAUCAUCCCUAUGUCAAUCCGCCUUUCAAAUAAAUACAUAAAUAAACUUUUAAAAAUGUCCCACCUCCUAGAACGAAUGGGAUUGGGGUUGGGUUCCUAAGGCCCAUGUUUUUCCAUGUGCAGCAUGUAUGGGAGUUCUUCUGGGUUGUAAUGUCAUACCUGCAGGUUUCCCAGCCUAGAGUUGCACUCUGGUAUCUCGACAGUCAUGAGGUCUUGGGGAUUUCCACAAUUGCAGCUCCACUAGGUCUCGUCCUAAAUGAAACUUUCUGAAGUGGCUGUGUCCCUGCAGCAGGUUUCUGCUUGGCACACAGGCUGUCUGUUACAUCCUUUGAAAUUUAAGUGGAGGAAAUAAUGUCUUUACGGUCCCUGCACUCUGUGCACCUGUAAAAAGAGCAUCACUUUUACACAGCCAAGGUUGACAGGCUGUACCUUCUGAAGUAGUAGCUGAAGCCAUAGGCAGGACCACUUGAGCCCCAACUGAGGUGAUAGAGACAUACUGUACCAGAUUGCCGAGAGCAGACCCUUGAGGUAGUGUGAAACAGCAAAGCCUGAAGUCCCAUGGGUGCCUCUAUGGAACCUUUGACCUCAAGCCCGUACUCACCUAAAUGUUUUCAGAGUUGUUUUCUCAUUGUCUGGAUGAACAGCAUCUGGCUUCCUUCUUUGCAUACUGAUCUCCUUAUUAAAUGGUUGGUUGGCCAGCACCUUGGUUUUCUGAUCUAAGCAUACUCUAUAUAUUCUUUAAAUGAGCAGACUGAAAAUUUUGUAAAUCUUUUUAUGUUUGAUUUGCCUUUUUAUAUCCCAAUUUCAGAUCAUUUAUCUCCUCUUAUAUUUUACCAUCUGCCAUUAAAAGAAACCACAUAUCACUUUGAUUUCUUUCCUGCUUAGAGAUUUCUUUUAGCCAGAGACCCUAGUUCAUCACUCAGAAAUUCUGCACUUUAACAUCCUAGGCCAUGGACACAAUUCAGUCCAGUCUACUACAAUUUCCAAAAUCUUGUUCCUUAUUUAUGUUUAAGCCCUCAUCCAUGAUGCC